CGGAAGGAUCAUUGUCGAAACCUGCAGAGCAGAAAGACCAGCGGACCCAUUACAACACCCAGGGGCGACGUGCGCAAUGCGCCCCAACCCCUGACGCCGAGUGUGUGCAGCCCUGCCUUGCGCCCUCAGCAUAAAACGAACCCAGGCGCGGAACGCGUCAAGGAAUCAUAACGAAACGAGCUCCUGUUGUGGCCCCGGGGACGGUGAUUGCCGCAGCGGCUGUGUUGUGCUUGGUUUAAGUCUAAAAUGACUCUCGGCAACGGAUAUCUCGGCUCUCGCAUCGAUGAAGAACGUAGCGAAAUGCGAUACUUGGUGUGAAUUGCAGAAUCCCGUGAACCAUCGAGUCUUUGAACGCAAGUUGCGCCUGAAGCCAUCAGGUUGAGGGCACGUCUGCCUGGGUGUCAAACACCGUUGCCCCCCAAAUCCCCUCGUCACUCUCCCCUGAGUGCCCGGGGAGUGUGGGGGUCGGAUGAUGGCCUCCCGUGUGUCUUGGCUCGCGGUUGGCCCAAAGUUGAGUCCUCGGUCACGGUUACCGUGGUGACAGGUGGUUGUCGGUCACUUGGUACCCCGUCACGUGCGCCGGACACGAAUCAAGACUCUCUUGAUUACCCCAACGCAUCCCGCGUGGGUGCUUCUGAUGUGACCCCAGGUCAGGCGGG
This 659-nucleotide ribosomal RNA is filed under the name Morus murrayana. Its description in RNAcentral is "eukaryotic LSU rRNA". The stretch from base 249 to 404 matches the Rfam family "5.8S ribosomal RNA". The record is from RNAcentral. Lineage: Eukaryota; Viridiplantae; Streptophyta; Magnoliopsida; Rosales; Moraceae.